RNAcentral lists this long non-coding RNA (917 nucleotides) under Rosa chinensis. RNAcentral describes it as "sRNA RchiOBHm_Chr1g0367601". The record is from RNAcentral. Lineage: Eukaryota; Viridiplantae; Streptophyta; Magnoliopsida; Rosales; Rosaceae.
UUUAGGGUUCCCUCCCUUCGCUAAAAAAAAUUGGCCCUUUUCUUCCCCUGCGUGUUUGACUCAGCCUCUCUCACCCGCUUCUCUUCGGUCGAUUACCGCCUCCCUCCCUCUCUCUCUCUCUCUCUCUCUCUCUCUCCCUCAGUGGUGACUCUCUUCACUCUUCAGCCUCCAUCUCUCUCUCUCCAUCUCCUAACCCAAUUCCCUCAUUCUUUGUUCUUUACCGCAACCCUCUUUCUCUCUCUCUCUCCAUUUUCGAUUUAAUCCAUCUCCGGUCCAUUUAACAGACAGAACACAGCAACCUGCUAGGCUGUAACCAGCAACCCAUCUCCGGUCUCCGAGCUCCGCCUCCAGCCUUUCAAGCCCCACCGGCCACUGCCGAACUCGGGGUUGAAGACUUGGAGCACUCCCGAGUCCCGAACACGGAACACAACGAGCAAGGCUAUAACCAGCAACCAGCAACCCGUCUCCUCCUGUCCGGUCUCCGAGCUCCGCCUCCAGGACACAGCUCUUCAAAUCACCUAAUGCUUCCCAUCCAGAGACACAAUGGAGGGAGAUUCACGAAAUGCUUCUCUUGUUAACAAUUAAAGCAGCGAGAGCCGGCACUAACAGCUGCGGUUGCAGAGAAGGCAAGAUCGCCAGGGCCAAGAAGGUAAAGGAGUUUCAGUCUGGCAAAAGUUGUUAGAAUCUCAGAGUAGUUGCAUAUAUUCAAGAAGUUGGAAAGUCCAGGUUUUUAAACUCCUACAGGCAAGGGUUUGAGAGUUUUAAGGAUUUUGCCCCAAGAUGAGUUUCAAUGUUGCUGGCAAGCUGUUUAUUCUGCAGUGUGGUUGCUGCAGUGUUGUUGUUUAUGGAGUUACUGGGAUUCUCAACCAAAAAAUGGCUAACAACUGGGGUCUCGGCACAAUAUUGCUCACUCUUGU